This 630-nucleotide long non-coding RNA is filed under the name Brachypodium distachyon (stiff brome). RNAcentral describes it as "long non-coding RNA (BDIS_LNC004379)". Lineage: Eukaryota; Viridiplantae; Streptophyta; Magnoliopsida; Poales; Poaceae. The record is from RNAcentral.
ACGACGCGGGGCGAGAGACGGUGGCGGCACGGAGCUUCGACAGCGAGCAAUUCCGGCGGCCUGGCGGCGUAAUCGAGGGGGAGAGCAGAGGGGAACAGGAGAGGGGCGCUCAGGCUUUAUAGCGGUGCGCUCGGGCGGUUCUGGGAAGGUCGGGAUUAGUGGGGAGCGGUGAUGGCGCGCGGGGACGGCGGUCGGAAAUCGCGAAGGCGGCGCGGGGCUUUCCUUCAGGGAAGAACGCCCUGACAGGUGGGCCCCACCUGUCAGUGGCAGCGGGCGCGCAUGCGGACCGGUCCGGUUCGGGCGCGGUCGGCCGGGCGGUUCGGCCGGUUCGCGGCUUAGUGGGCCAGCCCAGUGGGUCAGUCCGUUCUAUUUUUUUUCUUUAACCUUUUCUUUUUCUAUUUUUCUUAUUUCUUUGAUAACUUUUGAUUUUGAACUCCAAAAUGGCCCAAAUAAAUUGCAGAAAAUUUGUAAAAUCAUGUUCUACCAUGAUACAACUUUUGGGAGUGAUUUCCCCUGAAAAUAAAAUACAUAAAAAUACAUUUGCCCUAUAAAUGCCUUUAGGGCUAUAUAACUAUUUAAAGAAAAUAGUUUUUCAACUCCAAAUAAUUAUCCAAAAAUUAUGGGAUAGCU